CAGCAGCCGCGGGAAAACGGAGGGUGCAAGCGUUAAUCGGAAUUACUGGGCGUAAAGCGCACGCAGGCGGUCUGACAAGUCAGAUGUGAAAUCCCCGGGCUUAACCUGGGAACUGCAUUUGAAACUGUCAGGCUGGAGUCUUGUAGAGGGGGGUGGAAUUCCAGGUGUAGCGGUGAAAUGCGUAGAGAUCUGGAGGAAUACCGGUGGCGAAGGCGGCCCCCUGGACAAAGACUGACGCUCAGGUGCGAAAGCGUGGGGAGCAAACAGGAUUAGAUACCCCCGUAGUCCUGUCUCUUAUACA
RNAcentral lists this ribosomal RNA (301 nucleotides) under uncultured bacterium. RNAcentral describes it as "partial 16S ribosomal RNA". It matches the Rfam family "Bacterial small subunit ribosomal RNA", at positions 509 to 809 of the family's 1533-position model. The record is from RNAcentral.